RNAcentral lists this ribosomal RNA (448 nucleotides) under uncultured bacterium. Its description in RNAcentral is "partial 16S ribosomal RNA". It matches the Rfam family "Bacterial small subunit ribosomal RNA", at positions 330 to 793 of the family's 1533-position model. The record is from RNAcentral.
UCCAGACUCCUACGGGAGGCAGCAGUGGGGGAUAUUGCACAAUGGGGGGAACCCUGAUGCAGCGACGCCGCGUGGGUGAAGGAGCGUUUCGGCGCGUAAAGCCCUAUCGGCAGGGAAGAAGGAGGACGGUACCUGACUAAGAAGCCCCGGCUAACUACGUGCCAGCAGCCGCGGUAAUACGUAGGGGGCAAGCGUUAUCCGGAUUUACUGGGUGUAAAGGGGGCGCAGACGGCAGCGCAAGCCAGGAGUGAAAGCCCGGGGCCCAACCCCGGGACUGCUCUUGGAACUGCGCGGCUGGAGUGCAGGAGGGGCAGGCGGAAUUCCUGGUGUAGCGGUGAAAUGCGUAGAUAUCAGGAGGAACACCGGUGGCGAAGGCGGCCUGCUGGACUGCGACUGACGUUGAGGCCCGAAAGCGUGGGGAGCAAACAGGAUUAGAUACCCGGGUAAG